AUGCACGCUGGCGGCGUGCCUAAUACAUGCAAGUCGAGCGAGCAGACGAGGAGCUUGCUCCUCUGACGUUAGCGGCGGACGGGUGAGUAACACGUGGAUAACCUACCUAUAAGACUGGGAUAACUUCGGGAAACCGGAGCUAAUACCGGAUAAUAUAUUGAACCGCAUGGUUCAAUAGUGAAAGACGGUUUUGCUGUCACUUAUAGAUGGAUCCGCGCCGCAUUAGCUAGUUGGUAAGGUAACGGCUUACCAAGGCAACGAUGCGUAGCCGACCUGAGAGGGUGAUCGGCCACACUGGAACUGAGACACGGUCCAGACUCCUACGGGAGGCAGCAGUAGGGAAUCUUCCGCAAUGGGCGAAAGCCUGACGGAGCAACGCCGCGUGAGUGAUGAAGGUCUUCGGAUCGUAAAACUCUGUUAUUAGGGAAGAACAAAUGUGUAAGUAACUAUGCACGUCUUGACGGUACCUAAUCAGAAAGCCACGGCUAACUACGUG
Molecule: ribosomal RNA, 496 nt
Filed under: uncultured bacterium
Lineage: Bacteria
Description: partial 16S ribosomal RNA
Rfam family: Bacterial small subunit ribosomal RNA
Source: RNAcentral